Armigeres subalbatus is the source of this 727-nucleotide long non-coding RNA. RefSeq lists it as uncharacterized. The record is from RefSeq and is a predicted model, not a curated record. NCBI's taxonomy places the organism in Eukaryota, Metazoa, Arthropoda, Insecta, Diptera, Culicidae. The transcript has 3 exons.
AAUCAAAUGCAUACAUCACGCAAGAGCUUGUAUGGUUUUUUUUACCUUUCUUGUACAUUAAGUGUAGGGUCUUGUACAUUAAGAUAGGGGCCGGUGACUUCGUGGAGGGCCAUAUGUGUAUCAACGCUGUAGCCAACCAGAUGGCUUCCAACAACGGCGACAUUUCGCAGACACUCUUAACUAUUGCUGCCGUUGGCUGAGGCUGCUUUCCCUGGCGCACUAUCUCCCUGAUCCCGGGUGGGUGCUUCCGGUCCUCGUUGUUUCCAUUCGCUGCCCACGUUUCCACUCUCGGCGGUCACAACAUGGGUGAAAUUUAAAAUCUUCUUGUGGGUCGCUGAAAAAGAGCAGAUUUUCGUCUUCACUUCAAGACAGUAGUGCCGGGGCGAUGACAGCCCGAAAGAAUCACCAGGACCAUACUAUAGACACAGCAGCUUCAAUAGAUGAGCUAAAACUAAGGUGAAUGAACACGAGCCUAAGGAUACAAAAUACAAAAGCCACUCUAAAAAUCCUGCUCGUCUACGGUAUCUAUUGUAUCUAUAGACCAUACGCGAUGCAGAAGUAUCACAUCCGGGCAGGCGGAUCGCAAUCUGUCCCUGUAAUGUGGAAGCAGCAACCAAGGUAGAUUUCCCUCCUACUAAGUAUAGUUUGCCUAGUUUGAGCUUCCGCUAUCUCGGUCUGGUUUGUCUUCGCUAUUUUUUCGCAUAAAACGAUGAUUUUGAUAGCUGAC